AUGUUUCCUGUUCUUCUGUUGCUUCUGUUGCCAUAUGUACUCCAAGCAGCAUCAGGGAGAGCAUUCAGCAAUAGGACUGAUGUGGAUUCCUUGCUGGCACUAAAGGCAAGCCUAAGAAAUCAGAAUGGUGUCCUAGCUGCAUGGAACACAACGACUGGUUACUGCCAGUGGCCAGGCGUCAGUUGCAGCCUUAAGCACAAGCACAGGGUCACAGUGCUUAACCUCUCUUCAGAGGGCCUUGGUGGCACGAUCGCACCCUCCAUUGGGAACCUCUCAUUCUUGAGAAUUCUAGACCUCAGCAACAACAAUUUGCAAGGUGGAAUAAUUUCCGCAAUUGGUCGCCUGUCUCGCCUACGACAUCUUGUUUUAUCCAACAACUCACUUCAUGGUGAUGUAAACGCUGGAUUGAAGAAUUGCACCAGCCUUGAAAGAAUCAACAUUGGUUCAAACAGUUUGACUGGAGAAAUCCCUGCUUGGCUCGGAUACUUGUCAAGUCUCAAGUUCAUAGACCUGAGCAUAAACAAGUUCACUGGAAUAAUCCCGUCAUCACUUACCAAUCUCUCAGAAGUGCAAGCAAUUGAUUUCACCACAAACCAACUCGAGGGUGUCAUCCCUGAGGGCCUUGGUAGGCUCGGCAACCUUGUCUCGAUAAGCCUGCCAGAUAAUCACCUCUCAGGCACCAUCCCUACAACUUUGUUCAACCUUUCCACUCUAAUAACCUUGUCUGUGGAAGGAAAUAAUUUGGGCGGUAAACUACCCUCGGACUUUGGGGAUCACCUCCCAAAUCUUGAGCACCUAUUCCUCGGUGCUAACCACUUUAUAGGAAACCUUCCAGCUUCCCUUGUGAACUCAACUAAGAUAUAUGACCUAGAUGUCUCCUUCAACAACUUCACCGGAACAUUGCCACCAGAGAUUGGAAUUCUCUGCCCAGCCGACCUCAGCCUUGGAGUAAAUCAGUUCAUGGCUGCUACUGUGCAGGACUGGGAGUUUAUGACAUUGUUGACAAACUGUACACGCCUCCGUAUAUUAAACCUCCAGUUGAACAUGCUAGGUGGCAUGCUGCCUAGCUCAGUUGCCAAUCUAUCAAGUCAACUCCAAGUGCUAUAUGUUGGAGCCAAUGAGAUUUCUGGAAAGAUACCAUUUGGCAUAGGCAAUCUUGUUGGGCUAAAUCGAUUGCAGCUAGCUCGUAACCAAUUUACUGGCGCCUUGCCUGACACCAUAGGGAGGCUAUAUUCACUAAAAACCCUGCAGUUGCAUAGUAACCUACUGACAGGCUUCAUGCCAUCCUCCCUUGGGAACUUGACGCAACUACUAAGGCUGUACACAGAUAACAACACGUUUGAGGGGCCAUUUCCAGCAAGCCUCGGGAGACUACAAGAGCUGAAUAUAGGAUUAUUUUCAAACAAUAAGUUCACAGGUCCAUUGCCUAAAGACAUCUUCAACCUAUCGGCCCUGUCAGACGUCCUAGAUUUGUCGAGCAAUUACUUUGUUGGACCUCUUCCACCUGAAGUAGGCGGCUUGACAAAUCUUGCACGCCUGUACUUAUCACAGAACAACUUGUCAGGGCCCCUCCCUAAUGCACUCAGCAAGUGCCAAAGCUUGACAGAACUCAGGCUGGACGACAACUCCUUUGAUAGUAGCAUUCCCUCAUCUAUCAGCAGCAUGCGAGGCCUGAUGUUGCUAAACCUUACAAAGAACACACUCUCAGGUGUGAUUCCUCGGGAUUUAGGGCUAAUGGGUGGCCUUGAAGAGUUAUACCUAGCACGUAACAACUUGUCUGGUAAUAUCCCAGAAAGCUUGGAAAAUGUGACAUCAUUGUACCAGUUAGACCUGUCCUUCAACCAUCUGGAUGGCAAAGUUCCAUCAUGGGGAGUGUUCAGUAAUGCAUCUGGUUUUUUCUUUGGUGGGAAUUUGGGGCUCUGUGGUGGUAUAUCAGAGUUACAUUUGCCCCCAUGCCAGCCAGAAUCCGUGGGACAUGGCUUGAGCAAACGCCAUUUGACUAUCACCCUAGUUACCGCAACUGCUGGCAUAAUUCUGGGUUUGAGCUUGAUGCUUGUUUUCUUCACAAUGAGAAAGAAAUCAAAAGCUCGGUCUACAACCAUAGGAGGAUUCCAGUUGAUGGAUGACAAUUAUCCCAGAGUAACUUAUGCUGAAUUGGUCCAAGGAACAAGUGGCUUUGCAGCAGACAAUUUGCUUGGCAGAGGAAGGUAUGGAUCGGUGUAUAAGUGUUGUCUGCUGCUAAAAAAUAUGAUGACCACAGUAGCUGUAAAGGUUUUUGAUCUUCAACAGUCUGGCUCUUCCAAAAGCUUUCAAGGUGAGUGUGAGGCACUUAGUAAGAUCCGCCAUCGCAAUUUGAUUAGUCUCGUGACUUGUUGUUCAAGCUCUGACUCGAACCAAAACGACUUCAAAGCCAUUGUGUUCGAGUUCAUGCCUAAUGGGAGCCUAGAUAGGUGGUUGCACAUGGAUGUACAUGUAUCACAUCAACUCCAAGGAUUGACACUGAUGAAGAGAUUAAAUAUUGCAGUUGAUAUUGCUGACGCAAUAGAUUAUUUGCACAACAACUGUGAACCACCAAUAAUUCACUGUGACUUGAAGCCAAGCAACAUUCUUCUCAAUGAGGAUUUAGUUGCUCAUGUUGGGGACUUUGGACUUGCAAAGAUUCUUUCUGAACCAGCAGCUGAGCAACUGAUAAAUUCAAAGAGCACAGUUGGAAUAAGAGGAACAAUUGGAUACGUCGCUCCAGAAUAUGGCGAAGGUGGUCAAGUUUCUUCAUGUGGAGAUGUAUACAGCUUUGGAAUUGUCAUCCUCGAGUUGUUUACAGGCAUGGCACCUACUCAUGACAUGUUCAGAGACGGGUUGACCCUGCAGAAACAUGCCGAGAAUGCAUUUCCAGGGAUGCUAAUGCAGAUUGUUGAUCCAGUCCUGCUGGCCACUUAUGUUUCCAAUGCUAAUAGUUUGCAGGGUGGAAUCAAUACAGUGGAACAUGGCAACAACGCCAUACCCUCUGUCAUGAAGGUUGCGCUAUCAUGCAGCAAGCAUGCACCGACAGAGAGAAUGUGCAUCAAAGAUGCUGCUACAGCAAUUCACAGGAUAAGGGAUGAAUAUACUAAAGUAAUCCAAAAUGAGGGAGUUGUUAAUGCUGCCUAUACUGCAAGGCAUUUUGCUGAAACAUCCAGGGCAGCCCCUUGA
This 3189-nucleotide ribosomal RNA is filed under the name Triticum aestivum (bread wheat). RNAcentral describes it as "partial small subunit ribosomal RNA". The record is from RNAcentral. Lineage: Eukaryota; Viridiplantae; Streptophyta; Magnoliopsida; Poales; Poaceae.